UGCAUACAGACAGACAUGGUGUGAAUCAUUACAGCCAUACUUCCACUGAGACACCAUCUGAAAACAGAUCAUCUAGGCUUCAGCCAUGCAUGAAUGUUCACACAAGCAUAAAUGCUGUCAAGUUGGAGCUGGAUGCAUUGGUGCCUCGGUACAGUGAAAUCAACGAGGCAUCUUCCUUGUCUGAUAUUAUGAAACAAGUUGGGGCAUCUUUACCUUUUUGUUCGGGGGUGCUACCUUCUUAUUCUUUUGUAUCUCAAGAAAAAAUAUAUAACAUCGACUUCCUUUUUACCUGCCACAAAAACAUGGAUUCUGUGUUUGUCUUGAUAUGUUUGUUUGAUAUCAUACCAAACAUAGCUCUUGCACACUUUAAAUCAUUCUUAAAACUCGUGCAGCAGUCAAUCAAGAGGUAACAAACAUUUUCCCUUUAUCCACUCUGAUAACUGAUUGGCAGGCUGUUACUGUUAUGAUUCUGGACUGUUUGUCUGCACCAUCUCUGUCUGCAUGGUGAUCAUCUCUAUGCUGAUUGCUUUCACCUGCUCCUUCCCAGCCAGCUACCUAAUUACACCACACUUGCUCCACCUGUGCACCUGGCUUUUUAAGCAACACACUGACAGACAAACAGGGCCAGAUUAUUGAAAGCCUAUGUGUGAGUAAGUGUCCAGCACUCCUUCCUUCCUUCCUUCCUUCCCUGGCUGCCUGAUCCUGAUAUCGUUUUUGCCCCUCGAGUUCUCUGCUCUGCCUUGCCCACGUCGGAUCCACCUGCCUGAAUCUGUCUCCCCGUUCAUGACCUCGUUUCUCUGCCCUGACCAACGAUUCAAGCCUUUCCCUCGGAUCAUGACACCUGAUUCUGCUUCCCCGGCUCUGAUCCAGUUUAUGUCCCCUAACCACCGCACUCUACCUGUUUACUGGGCUUGCAAACCUGAGAACAUGUGUGACGUUGUCCUGCUGUCUGCAGUCCAUCACUCUGAGGAGCCAAAAUUCAGUUUCCUUAUUUUCCCAUGGAUUCUGAAAAGAGGUUCCUGAGCCUAUCUGCUGGUGGUUUCCUGCCGAACGUCACCCAGAGCUUUCAAUAAAUCUUUUGAAUCUUA
Molecule: long non-coding RNA, 1088 nt
Organism: Girardinichthys multiradiatus
Lineage: Eukaryota; Metazoa; Chordata; Actinopteri; Cyprinodontiformes; Goodeidae
Exons: 2
Source: RefSeq, a predicted model, not a curated record